AACCUCUUAAUAUUAAAGUUUAGACUAAGUAUGAACUUAAUCAUAAACCAAGAGUUGUUUAUACAAAGUAUCCUAUGAAAGGUAUGGGGACUUAAAGUUUUUAACAACCCCUUAGAAAGAAUAAGGGUUACAACCGCACUACCAAAAAUAAAAAAACAAAGGAAUUCAAAUAACAUAACAUUUUUCAUUAAGAAGUUGAAGGAAGUGAAGUAGAGACAUCAACAUCAGCAGGCUCAACUUGACUUGAAGGAGUGGGGAUACUCGUAUCAUCUUCAGCAUUUCCAAAAGCUUCAUCCACACGAGAAGAAAAAACUUGGUUCUGUUGAGUCUUCUCAAUAAUCUCUUUGAUCUUGGCUAACUCAGACUCCAAGUUGAAAUUCUCCUGGCUUACUUCAACGAGAGUAUCACGACAAGAAUUUGAAAACGCCCAACUUACUUCAAUGGCGGAUUUAUCUUCAAGAAUCUCGUAGUCUCUUUCCAGUCAGCAAUUUCAUUUCUUAAAUUCUCAUUUUCAGCCAAGGCAGAUUCAUUAGAAGCUUGAAGAGAAGCUUGGGAAUUUUCUAAGGAGCAAACUUCAUCAGAGGAUACCCGGAGGUCUUCUUGAGUUUUAGUCAAAGUCUGCACAAGUUCACCAGCAUAUGCUUCUUCUUUUUUAUCUAAGAGAGCCUUCAACUCUCUGAUCUCUUCACUUUCCUUGGAAAGUUGCUCAGAAAAUGUGGUUCAAGACGAUCUUUUUCUUUACUUGCUUGACUUGAGAA
RNAcentral lists this long non-coding RNA (758 nucleotides) under Nicotiana benthamiana. RNAcentral's name for it is "long non-coding RNA (NBEN_LNC031568)". The record is from RNAcentral. Lineage: Eukaryota; Viridiplantae; Streptophyta; Magnoliopsida; Solanales; Solanaceae.